This 478-nucleotide ribosomal RNA is filed under the name uncultured bacterium. RNAcentral describes it as "partial 16S ribosomal RNA". It matches the Rfam family "Bacterial small subunit ribosomal RNA", at positions 28 to 507 of the family's 1533-position model. The record is from RNAcentral.
GAUGAACGCUGGCGGCGUGCUUAACACAUGCAAGUCGAACGAGAAGUGCAGUCGGAAACCUUCGGGCGGAGGGCUUUAUUUCGCGUGGCGGUCGGGUGAGUAACGCUUGGGUAACCUGCCUCAUACCGGGGGCUAAUAGCUGGAAACGACUCUUAAUACCUCAUAAGACCACAGCACCGCAUGGUGCGUGGGUAAAAACUCCGGUGGUAUGAGAUGGACGCGCGUUCGUUUAGUCAGUGGGCGGGGUCACGGCCCACCCAAGCGAGGAUCGAUGGCCGAAAGGAGAGGAGGACCCGCCACGUUGGGAAUGAGACACGGCCCAAACUCGUACGGGAGGGAGCGGUAGGGAAUAUUGCGCGAGGGGGGAAACCCUGAUGAAGCGGCGCCGCGGGAGAGAAGAAGUAUGUCGGUAUGUAAAGCUCUAUCAGCAGGGAAGAAAAUGACGGUACCUGGGGAAGAAGCCCCGGCUAACUACGUG